UGGGGAAUAUUGCGCAAUGGGGGAAACCCUGACGCAGCGACGCCGUGUGAGGGAUGAAGGCUUUCGGGUCGUAAACCUCUGUCGGGAGGGAAGAACCGCUGGAUGUCGAAUAAACGUCCAGCCUGACGGUACCUCCAAAGGAAGCACCGGCUAACUCCGUGCCAGCAGCCGCGGUAAUACGGAGGGUGCAAGCGUUAAUCGGAAUCACUGGGCGUAAAGCGCGCGUAGGCUGUCUCAUAAGUCGGAUGUGAAAGCCCUCGGCUCAACCGAGGAACUGCAUUCGAAACUGCGAGACUGGAGUACGGGAGAGGGUGGCGGAAUUCCCGGUGUAGGAGUGAAAUCCGUAGAGAUCGGGAGGAACACCAGUGGCGAAGGCGGCCACCUGGACUGUAACUGACGCUGAGGCGCGAAAGCGUGGGUAGCAAACA
Molecule: ribosomal RNA, 428 nt
Filed under: uncultured Desulfovibrio sp.
Lineage: Bacteria; Pseudomonadati; Thermodesulfobacteriota; Desulfovibrionia; Desulfovibrionales; Desulfovibrionaceae
Description: partial 16S ribosomal RNA
Rfam family: Bacterial small subunit ribosomal RNA
Source: RNAcentral